CUUCAACGACCCCAGCCACACCGGCUCCCCGGCCGAACGCCCCUGACCGUACGUCGCCAACAACGCCUGCGCCUC
Molecule: non-coding RNA, 75 nt
Organism: Streptomyces albus subsp. albus
Lineage: Bacteria; Bacillati; Actinomycetota; Actinomycetes; Kitasatosporales; Streptomycetaceae
Source: Rfam